RNAcentral lists this long non-coding RNA (3926 nucleotides) under Sus scrofa (pig). RNAcentral describes it as "lncRNA (ENSSSCG00035032460.1)". Lineage: Eukaryota; Metazoa; Chordata; Mammalia; Artiodactyla; Suidae. The record is from RNAcentral.
GGUCACAUCCCAAAUUCCCAGGGAAGGACUCUGAUUGGUCCAAUUUGGCUCCAAGGCCAUCUUUGGACCAAUCAGCUGUGACCAGGAAGCAGAAUCGUUGGAUGUAAAUAUGUCUGUUUGCAUUUAUCUAUGUAAUAGAGGGGAUGAGAGGAAAGGUCCAAUAUCCUGGUAGCUGGGGAAGCUAAUCACAUAAAACAAGUUUUUUUAUGCAUUUUUUUUCCUAUGAAUUUCUAGAAACUUUAAAAGGAAAGAUUGGAGAAGAAGAGGGGCAUGAGCCAAGUAAGCUCUGGGGGAGCUUCGGAAUUAACCAGCUCCCCCACAUUACUGAUGAGCUUCUUCCAGCUAAUGGAAUAAUGAAAACACAAAACAGAUUUACCGUUCUUAAUAAGAGAGAGAGAUAAUGAAGGCAAAUUAAAAUGGAAGCUCAGAUCUGCGUGGAGAACAGCUUGCUGCCAUGCAUGUGGCUCAAAGACAAAGGAAAGCGCUUAAUAAAAAAAAGCAAAAAAUUACCUGAGUUUGUGGACCAAGAAUAAGCCAAGAACAACACUGGGGGCACCGUGGAAUAGCUACAACAGAGACUGUGUAUCGUGAGCGGGUUUGGCUCAACCUUGGGUUCUGAGCAACUGCAAGGUGAUAUACCCUUUCUCGAAGCUUCCACCAUCCUCACUGGAAGAGCCAAAGACCCUCAGGUCAGCAGGGCAGGCUUUCUGGCUCCUCUGUCCCCUUAGAAGAGGCCAAGAUGGCAAUCUUGACUUCAGAAUCUUUAUUGGAAAAUAAACACUGUUUAAUGUACAAGAAAUCCCUCCAAGGGUCCAGUCAAAACAUCCCCAUGUGGGAUUGAUGCCAUUCGAAUGGACUCCAGAUGUCCCCUGGUCUCAGUGUCCCUGUGACCUCAAGGAGGGAGGAAGGCCCUGCAGGGAGACACGUGGCGGGUUUAGCACCCAAGGAAGCAGCUUGCUUUGCCACCCCAGCUGCUGUGCGGUGAGGGUGUUUGGGUGAUUCCCUGGCCCUGCCCAGCUUCGCCAGACUCCAUCCACCUCUCCCUCAAAGGUCUCUAUGGCCAUUCUCUUGAGUUUUUUCAUUCAACCAAAGGAAAUGCCCUGCCUGGGGUGGGGUCAGGGGGUAGGAUUCUACUCAGAAUCAGAGCCCAGUGUGGCUUUCCACAGGCCAGGUCAGCUGGAGGCCUGUGCCUAUGUCAAAGCCAGGCAGGGCUGCAGAGAAAACUGUGGAAAGAGCUGGGAGUGGGGCAGUCACAGAUGGAGGGGCUGGAGAGAAGCAGCAGAGACCAGAAGCUGAAAACGGAGGAUGGGGGUGGGAGAGGCAACCUCAGAAAUGCCUCUACUGAUAACGUCUCUGAGGAUUACUGAUCAAAAUUCCACCCUUCCAUUUAAAUACCCGAGCUGGGAGUUCCCACUGUGAUGCAGUGGAAACAAAGCUGACUAGUAUCCAUGAGGAUGCUGGUUCGAUCCCUGGCCUCGCUGAGUGGGUUAAGAUCCAGCCUUGCCUUGAGCUGUGGUAUAGGUUGCAGACACAGCUCCGGUCCCUUGACCUGCGCCAUAACCACAGCAAUGCCAGAUCUGAGCCACAUCUGGGACCUAUGCCACAGCUUGCAGCAACACCCGAUCCUUAACCCACUGAGCAAGACCAGGGAUCAAACCUGCAUCCUCACAGUCAAGUUCUUAACCCAUCGAGCCACAAUGGGAACUCCUACUAAUACAUUCUGGAUGUAAAAAAUAUUUAAAUAACCCAUUAAAUCAGACUUGUGCCCUUGGGAGAGUUGAGUCACCCCCAACCCGGCUCCCGGAAGGCCCUAGUGCCUGCCCUCCCCCACCCCCCGUCCCUAGAGUCAGGAGCAGGUGGCUGUGUCUCUCUGAUGCAACCCUGUCUCAUACAAAAGCUCCGAGAGCUGGGAGCAUGUCUCAUGAGCUUUGGUUGUCCUUCCUCAACGCCCCCCCACCCCCUUCUGCUUGAGGAUGACCACAGGAGAUGCUUCGAUGACAACAAGGGUGGUAAUAGUAAUUCCAGCUAAUAGCAUGGAGCCCUAGUUGAGCCUCAUAACAACCCCAAAUAGGAAGUUACAGCCAUCACUACCCUGUUAGCCUAAGAGGAAUUGGAGGCACAGAGAGUGUAAAUACUUAGGAUGUGUCCCCAGCAAGGACCACAGUCAUCCUGAUGGGGAAGCCUGCAUCCUUGUCUUUGUACAAGGGAUCCUCAGCAGGCUCUGGAGUUGAAGAGAAUCAGCACUUUCCAUCCCUACAUGUGGCUCCGAACAGGAAAGAAGCCAGAGAGGAGAAUUACCUUUGGGGACAGGAAAGCAAGAAAAAAAUCCCCGCUAAUGGGAUGAUCCAGUCUUAGUUCUGGUCCAGGCCCAGCGCUCAUCUUCCAGGCUGACUUCUGUCCCCCCGCCCCACCAUUACUGCCCAGAUAUUGGAAUCAAGGUUUGUGGGGGCUGCAAGAGAGAGCCCCAUGCACCCUCACCAGGCCUCCCUCCCUGAGAGGAGCCAUGUGUAAAUACCCCGUGAGUGGUGUGAAUUUCCAUGAUGUACACAAUUUGGGUUUGGCUAAAUCAGCCACAUGGAGGCAGAGACUUCUAAAAGUCUAGCCCCAGAAGGGGAUUUAAAAACCAUUUAUUCACUCUCCCUUUUUUUCACUCUGUUCCAGCCUCACUGCUGUUCUCCUAGCACAGGGGCCUGCUUCUGCCCCAGGGCCUUUGCAUUUAUCAAGCCUUUUGUCUGGGACAGAAUUUACCUCCUUCCUGUCUUGGCUCAGAUGUCAGCUGCUCAGUAAGACCUUUUGUUACAGUUACAAACCCAUCUCCCCUUCCUCACUUUAUGUUUUCUCCCAGGAUGUUUCACGUCCUGACAUUUUACUGAUUUUCCUCUUUGUUACCUUCCUCCCACCCUCUAGGAUGUCAGCUUCAUGGGGGCAGGGCUUCCUAUCUAUUUGGCGUCCUGUGGGGUAUACCCAAAGCCUGGCACGUAAGAGAUGCCCAAUACACAUUUGUCAAAUAAAUUAUGUUCAAGAGCAUCCCAUUUUACAGCGCAGCUGUGACAUAGGUCACAGCUGAGGCUCCUGGCCCAGGAAUUUCCAUAGGCUGCAGGUGUGACCAAAAGAGUAAAAAAAAAAAAAAAGUCUGUACAGGUGUCCUAGGGCUGCUGGAACAAAUUAUCACAAACUUGGUAGCAUAAAACAUCUAUUCAUUCACUCGCAAUUCUGGAGACCAGAACUAUGAAAUGAAGGUGUCAGCAGAGGCUCUUAGGCAGGAUCUUUCUUGCCUCUAAAGCUUCAGGGGACCCCAGGCUCCCUCGGCUUGUGGCCGCCUCCCUCCAAUCUCUGUCUCUGUCUUCACAGGGCCCUCUCCCUGUGUCUCUGUGGCCCUCUCCUUCAUCCUAUAAGGACACUGGUCAUUGGAUUUAGAGCCCACCCCAGCCUCAGGAUAACCUCACCCCAAGACCCUCAACUAAUUACGUCUGUCAAGACCCUCUUUCCAAAUAGGGUUCCCUUCUGAGGUUCCAGGUGGACAGGAAUUUAGGAGAACACUGUUCAACCACCGCACUGGCAGAGCUGACUAGAACUCAGGUCUCCCCCGCCACCCCCCGACCACAGCCCCCUCAGGGGCUCCACUAGAGUCUCUGCUUUGAGAGGUUAGGUUGGCAGCCGACGGCUGUGGCUGUCAGUCUCCCGUGAACUUGUCAAGUAGGAGAGGGAAAAAAUAAACUCUGGGGUUAAUGAAAGCAGCGAGAUGAUCUCGGCUGAUCCCCCCUAAUCCCCUGCUCUGAGCUCGGCUUUCCAUCAUCAGUCGAGGCUUCUUUUUUUCCCCUUCUUUGUCCGAGUUUCCCCAGAGAAGCAAGCCUUCCAAAUUUAAUAAACUUCCCCCGCCCCCAGCUUUCCCUAAAAUAAAGUAACAGCAGGAUGAUUUUCAAAUG